RNAcentral lists this transfer RNA (69 nucleotides) under Urocitellus parryii (Arctic ground squirrel). RNAcentral describes it as "Spermophilus parryii (Arctic ground squirrel) tRNA". It matches the Rfam family "tRNA". From Rfam's summary of the family: Transfer RNA (tRNA) molecules are approximately 80 nucleotides in length. Their secondary structure includes four short double-helical elements and three loops (D, anti-codon, and T loops). RNAcentral also lists the same sequence under 1 other name. Lineage: Eukaryota; Metazoa; Chordata; Mammalia; Rodentia; Sciuridae. The record is from Rfam by way of RNAcentral.
GGAGUUGUAGCUCAGAGGUAGAGCAUUUGCCUGGUACGUGUGAGGCACUGGGUUCGAUUCCCAGCACCA